AGUGAACGCUGGCGGUAGGCCUAACACAUGCAAGUCGAACGGCAGCACAGUAAGAGCUUGCUCUUACGGGUGGCGAGUGGCGGACGGGUGAGGAAUACAUCGGAAUCUACUUUUUCGUGGGGGAUAACGUAGGGAAACUUACGCUAAUACCGCAUACGACCUACGGGUGAAAGCAGGGGAUCUUCGGACCUUGCGCGAUUGAAUGAGCCGAUGUCGGAUUAGCUAGUUGGCGGGGUAAAGGCCCACCAAGGCGACGAUCCGUAGCUGGUGUGAGAGGAUGAUCAGCCACACUGGAACUGAGACACGGUCCAGACUCCUACGGGAGGCAGCAGUGGGGAAUAUUGGACAAUGGGCGCAAGCCUGAUCCAGCCAUACCGCGUGGGUGAAGAAGGCCUUCGGGUUGUAAAGCCCUUAUGUUGGGAAAGAAAAGCAGCAGGUUAAUACCCCGCUGUUCUGACGGUACCCAAAGAAUAAGCACCGGCUAACUUCGUG
This 492-nucleotide ribosomal RNA is filed under the name uncultured bacterium. RNAcentral describes it as "partial 16S ribosomal RNA". It matches the Rfam family "Bacterial small subunit ribosomal RNA", at positions 29 to 507 of the family's 1533-position model. The record is from RNAcentral.